AGUCACUGACAUUAGAUACCCCCGUAGUCCCAGCCCUAAACGAUGCGCGUUAGGUGUAUCGGUGACCACGAGUCACCGAGGUGCCGAAGGGAAACCGUGAAACGUGCCGCCUGGGAAGUACGGUCGCAAGGCUGAAACUUAAAGGAAUUGGCGGGGGAGCACCACAACGGGUGGAGCUUGCGGUUUAAUUGGAUUCAACGCCGGAAAUCUUACCGGGACCGACAGCAACAUGAAGGCCAAGCUGAAGACUUUGCCGGAUUAGCUG
This 265-nucleotide ribosomal RNA is filed under the name uncultured archaeon. RNAcentral's name for it is "partial 16S ribosomal RNA". It matches the Rfam family "Archaeal small subunit ribosomal RNA", at positions 718 to 982 of the family's 1478-position model. The record is from RNAcentral.